Molecule: long non-coding RNA, 2563 nt
Organism: Astyanax mexicanus (Mexican tetra)
Lineage: Eukaryota; Metazoa; Chordata; Actinopteri; Characiformes; Acestrorhamphidae
Exons: 2
Source: RefSeq, a predicted model, not a curated record
GCAACACGACAACAGAAAAACAACAAAAGCUACUUAAUACCUUGCUCAAUCUACAAAAAUAAUAAUAAAUUCCAAAAUAAACGUCUAGGACGUAACAACCACCAAAUUGAAAACCUCUGGAAUAUAAUCAAGAGGAAGAUGGAUGAUCACAAGCCAUCAAACCACCAAACUGAACUGCUUGAAUUUUUGCACCAGGAGUAAAGCAGCAUAAAGUUAUCCAAAAGCAGUGUGUAAGACUGGUGGAGGAGAACAUGAUGAUAAGAUGCAUGAAAACUGUGAUUAAAAACCACUGAAGGGUUAUUCCACCGAAUAUUGAUUAUUUCUGAACUCUUAAAACUUUAUGAAUAUGAACUUGUUUUCUUUGCAUUAUUUGAGGUCUGAAAGCUCUGCAUCUUUUUUUGUUUUUUCAGCCAUUUUUCAUUUUCUGCAAAUAAAUGCUCUAAAUGACUAUUUUUAUUUGGAAUUUGGGAGAAAUGUUGUCUGUAGUUUGUAGAAUAAAACAACAAUGUUCAUUUUACUCAAACAUAAACCUAUAAAUAGCAAAAUCAGAGAAACUGAUUCAGAAACUGAAGUGAUCUCUUAAUUUUAAUAAUCCAGAGCUGUAGAAUGCACAUGUGUUUACACUCAUCAAAAACCUCCUCAAACGAUCAAACAACAACCGCGAGAGAUAGAAUCAGUGGAUCACAGAAUCCCGACGAGCUCAUCUCUUGCUGUAUCGGCCCUGUGCCUUCAUUUCUUAGCCUUCAAGGUGAGCUCUGUACAGGUAUUUAUGCACUGUUUUGGGGAAUCCUCUCAGAUUUUGAGAAUUGCAGGGGUUUGUACUGCUCUGUGUUCAUCACAAGCAGAUUUACAGCUUUAAUCAUUUAUUAUUUAUUUGAUUAACUGCUGUAAAAAAAACGAUGUAGCAUUUUUUAUGAGAAAGCUGUAGAGUGACUGGACACUUUAUUGGAAACACCUACCUUGUGCAUCCACACACUGGGCAUUUUAUUGGAAACUUCUAUCCCAAAAAACAUUCGCUCACUGGCCACUUUAUUGGAAACACCUACCAUGUACAUCCACUCCCAGGCCAAUUUAUUAGAAACACCUACCUUGUGCAUCCACUCAGUGGCCACUUUAUUGCAAACACCUACCUUAAACAUCCACAUACUGGCCACUUUAUUGGAAACACGUGACAUGUAGUUCCACUCACUGGCCACUUUUUAGAAACACUUACCCUUGUACAUCCACUCAGUGGCCACUUUAUUGGAAACACCUACUUUGUACAUCCACUCCCAGGCCGAUUUAUUAGAAACACCUACCUUGUGCAUCCACUCAGUGGCCACUUUAUUGGAAACACCUACCUUAAACAUCCACAUACUGGCCACUUUAUUAGAAACACUUACCCUUGUACAUCCACUCAGUGGCCACUUUAUUGGAAACACCUACCUUGUACAUCCACUCCCAGGCCGAUUUAUUAGAAACACCUACCUUGUGCAUCCACUCAGUGGCCACUUUAUUGGAAACACCUACCUUGUACAUCCACUCCCAGGCCGAUUUAUUAGAAACACCUACCUUGUGCAUCCACUCAGUGGCCACUUGGAAACACCAAUUUUGUACAUGCACACACUGGCCAAUUAAUUGGAAACAUCUACCUUAAACAUCCACCCACAGGCCACUUUAUUAGAAACACCUACCUUAAACAUCCACUCACUGGCCAGUUUAUUGGAAACCUCAGUUUUGUGCUUCCACUCACUGGCCACUUUAAUGGAAACCCCAAUUUUGUACAUAAACACACUGGCCACUUUAUUGGAAACACGUGACAUGUAGUUCCACUCGCUGGCCACUUUAUUAGAGACACUUACCCUUGUACAUCCACUCACUGGCCAGUUUAUUGGAAACCUCAAAUUUGUUCUUCCGCUCAGUGGCCACUUUAUUGGAAACACCUACCUUGUAUAUCUACUCACUCAUUGGCCACUUUAUUGGAAAUACCAAUUUUGUACACCCACACACUGACCACUUUAUUAGAAACACCUACCUUAAACAUCCACACACUGGCCACUGUAUUGGAAACACCUACCUUGUGCAUCCACUCAGUGGCCACUUUAUUGGAAACCUCAAUUUUGUACAUCCACUCAGUGGCCACUUUAUUGGAAACACCUACUUUUGUACAUCCACACACUGGCCACUUUAUUAAAAACACCUACCUUGUAUAUUUAUAUGAGAUAUGUAAAUGAGAACCUCAGCAGGGUGGAGCUACAAGAGGGGUGUUUCCGAUAAAGUGGCCAGUGUGAGUAAACUCUUUGCCAAAGAGAGUCCAGGCUGUGAACUCUGUACAUUAUUGAGUAUUUCUGUGAGUCUGCUGUGGCCGUGACUUUUAUUUUGAAAUGCUUGUAUUUGUAUCUGCUGUACAUUACUGUAUAUUAUUAUUAUUAUUAUAUUAAAAAUCUCUGUACAGAAAUCAGACAGAACGCUGUACAGACUGUACAGUAAAGCACUGUUAAUUUAAAGCCUGCGAAACCUGUAUGUAAGUCAUGUAAGAUUUUAAAAAAGAUUUUUAUUGAUUAAAAAUGUUUCAUUUUCUGAA